RNAcentral lists this long non-coding RNA (2171 nucleotides) under Brassica napus (rape). Its description in RNAcentral is "long non-coding RNA (BNAP_LNC026494)". The record is from RNAcentral. Lineage: Eukaryota; Viridiplantae; Streptophyta; Magnoliopsida; Brassicales; Brassicaceae.
UAGGCCUCCAUGAUAUCGACAAAUCAAAGAUAGCAAGCUUCACCGUCGUUUCUAUCGCUAAUAACUCCCAGAAGGGACAUGAAGUUCGUUUUUUCAGCGAUUCACGGCUAAGGGACGGACUCAAAUGGCUUGCGAGUAAUUCACCUCCGCAACCAAAUCUUCAGCACGUUAAACCGCGGGAACUUGUUCUGACGCAUUUAAGUUUUUCUCUAGAGUUGCUUAAGCAGAUGCGAGAUCAGGAAGUUUCUCCAUGCUGAUAAGGACUACAAAACAAAAUGCUCAAAACUUGUUCACAUGAAAAAGUCAAGAACCAUUGUGGAAGAUGUUUCUGCUCCAUCGAUAGAAGAAGAUGUUCCUGCUUCCUCUCCGUUGUCAUCCUUGUCGAUAGAAGCAAAUAAAGGAUAUCAACAGGAAACACCGCCUCCUCAAAGUCUUAAGAAACAAACAUCACUGCGUCUAGUUGAUAAAGAAAUGGCCGAUUCCAAGACUUCCCUCUUACUGGAGGAAGACAAGCCAGUGAAGACAUCUGUUAUAAAUCCAGUGCGGCCAUCUGAUGUAAAACCAGCAGUGGAUCAACAGAAAGGAAAUCACUUUACGCCGGCUGGUGAAUUUCAUUCUCCCCCGAAGUUCUAUUCUCCUGGAUUUCCUCAAGCUGAAUCCUUGAAUUUGAAGAAACAACCUAAUGACGGCCACACUAGUAUAUCUCCUGCGGAAAUUAAUUUUCCAUUUGCAGAGCAUAUGCAAACGAAUCUUGUGCCUGUACCUACUUUGCAACAAAGUCCGAAGUCUAUGCCUAUGGAGAAUGUGUCUGUAGCUACCAAAAUAGAGUCUCCAAGGAGUGUAGAAAACAUAUUCGCUUUGGAAGAAUCAGUACCUGAAGCUGCGAUGACUGUUACCUUGGAAGAGGGUUUCCAUGACAUUGAACAGGAAGACGAGGAUGGACAUGAGGACAUCACAAGUCAGUAUGACGAGGAAGUGGCGAAGGCCAAGCUCAAGUUGAUCAUAAGGUCUAGCAGUUCAUGCAAGUUGAUUCUUGGUUUAUGUUACUUUUUGUUUAACUUUUCUUUUCUAAAAUCUUCACAGAUUAUGGAAGCGGUGGUCUUCACGUCAAAGUGAAUUGCGGGAGCGUCGACAGUUAGCUGCAGCUGCUGCACUGAAUUCUCUAACCCUGGGCACUCCUAUCAGACUCAGCAAAACUGAUGUAAGUUUCAGUUUCCUUCCCUGUAACAUGUGCUGAUCAGUGUCAAGGAGGCAAUAAAAGUCUUUAAGGCAUUUACUAUUGAGGUUGGUAGUCUAAUUUGGUUCUCGCUUCAUAUACAGCAAUCGAGAGCGUGUGGUGAGUUUGACAUUGAUCAAGCGAUGAAGAGGAGAUUUGAAGAACGGGAAAAAUCAUGGUCAAAACUGAAUAUUUCAGAUGUGAUAGCUGAUAUAUUAGUCGAAAGGAAUCCAGACUCAAAAUGCAUAUGGUGGAAGGUCAUCCUAUGUACUCAGAUUAAAUCAGUUGACUCAUCAAGUCAGGAUACACAUGCAGCAGCCAGUAGAUGGUUAUCAUCAAAGCUUAUCCCUGACACAGAACAUAGCAUCUCCGAUGAUAAUCUGCUGUUUGCAGCUCCCGGUGUGUCGGUAUGGAAUAAAUGGGUUGCAAGUGGGUCUGAUUCUGAUUCCAGAUGCUGUCUCUCGGUAACUAGAGAUGUGGAAUCUGAUCAUGAUCCACGUGGUGCAAGCGCAGUUCUCUUCCUUGCAUCUAAAGGCAUCCCUUUGAAUCUCCAGAGAGAACAUCUUAACCGCAUUCUUGAAUCAGUACCCAACGGUUCACUCCUUCCCCUUCUCGUUCUAACCAGCUCAAGCAAUGGAGAAACCGUGGGUCCUGAUACAAAUCUCGUCUCUGAGCUAGGCCUCCAUGAUAUCGACAAAUCAAAGAUAGCAAGCUUCACCGUCGUUUCUAUCGCUAAUAACUCCCAGAAGGGACAUGAAGUUCGUUUUUUCAGCGAUUCACGGCUAAGGGACGGACUCAAAUGGCUUGCGAGUAAUUCACCUCCGCAACCAAAUCUUCAGCACGUUAAACCGCGGGAACUUGUUCUGACGCAUUUAAGUUUUUCUCUAGAGUUGCUUAAGCAGAUGCGAGAUCAGGAAGUUGGUCCUAACAUCUGCAUAUCAGCCUUCAACGACGC